RNAcentral lists this ribosomal RNA (503 nucleotides) under uncultured bacterium. Its description in RNAcentral is "partial 16S ribosomal RNA". It matches the Rfam family "Bacterial small subunit ribosomal RNA", at positions 30 to 523 of the family's 1533-position model. The record is from RNAcentral.
AUUGAACGCUGGCGGCAGGCUUAACACAUGCAAGUCGAGCGGGGUGAUGGUGCUUGCACUAUCACUUAGCGGCGGACGGGUGAGUAAUGCUUAGGAAUCUGCCUAUUAGUGGGGGACAACAUCUCGAAAGGGAUGCUAAUACCGCAUACGUCCUACGGGAGAAAGCAGGGGAUCACUUGUGACCUUGUGCUAAUAGAUGAGCCUAAGUCGGAUUAGCUAGUUGGUGGGGUAAAGGCCUACCAAGGCGACGAUCUGUAGCGGGUCUGAGAGGAUGAUCCGCCACACUGGGACUGAGACACGGUCCAGACUCCUACGGGAGGCAGCAGUGGGGAAUAUUGGACAAUGGGGGGAACCCUGAUCCAGCCAUGCCGCGUGUGUGAAGAAGGCCUUAUGGUUGUAAAGCACUUUAAGCGAGGAGGAGGCUUACCUAGUUAAUACCUGGGAUAAGCGGACGUUACCCGCAGAAUAAGCACCGGCUAACUCUGUGCCAGCCGCCGCGGUAA